CGUAGUCUGGGAUAUGUAGGAGAACCCGCUGAACUGAAGCAUCUCAAUAAGCGGAGGAAAAGAAACUA
Molecule: ribosomal RNA, 68 nt
Filed under: Pentatrichomonas hominis
Lineage: Eukaryota; Parabasalia; Trichomonadida; Trichomonadidae
Description: partial 28S ribosomal RNA
Rfam family: Eukaryotic large subunit ribosomal RNA
Source: RNAcentral